Molecule: long non-coding RNA, 336 nt
Filed under: Homo sapiens (human)
Lineage: Eukaryota; Metazoa; Chordata; Mammalia; Primates; Hominidae
Description: HSALNT0095689
Source: RNAcentral
GUCUCAAAAAAAAAGGACUCGUCUGAUCCAUGACCUGCCAGAACUGAAAGGAAUCUCACAGCUCAUGAAGGUGGCUGUUCAGUGAUUGGAAGAUUCUUGACAAAUACAUCGAGACACAUUUUUGGAUGUUUCCAACGCCACAGGCAUUGUUUUAGAUUAGACUCUACAUGAAGAUUCCAAGUAUCACAGCAGAUAUCUGGAGCUCUGACAGUUAUCUUGCAACCAUGAGGUCAAGAAAAGGUCAAGAGAAUCACAGAGAUGACAGCCUUAACAUCACUGGACCACUCACUCAGUGCCAGAAACUACCUGCCUCUAGACACCUUGCUAUGUAAACAC